AAACACUGAUAUGGACCGAUAGCGAAUAGUACCGUGAGGGAACGGUGAAAAGAACCCCGGGAGGGGAAUGAAAGAGAACCUGAAACCGUAUGUCUACAAACAGUCGAAGCGCUUUACAUGCGCGACGGCGUGCCUAUUGAAGAAUGAACCGGCGAGUUACUGUUGCCAGCGAGGUUAAGCGGGAAACGCGGAGCCGAAGCGAAAGCGAGUCUGAACAGGGCGAUAAGUUGGUAGCAGUAGACCCGAAACCACAGUGAUCUACCCAUGUCCAGGUUGAAGCACAGGUAAAAAUGUGUGGAGGACCGAACCAGUGAGCGUUGAAAAGCUUUUGGAUGAGAUGUGGGUAGGGGU
Molecule: ribosomal RNA, 351 nt
Filed under: Megasphaera sp. ASD88
Lineage: Bacteria; Bacillati; Bacillota; Negativicutes; Veillonellales; Veillonellaceae
Description: bacterial LSU rRNA
Rfam family: Bacterial large subunit ribosomal RNA
Source: RNAcentral